Molecule: ribosomal RNA, 253 nt
Filed under: uncultured bacterium
Lineage: Bacteria
Description: partial 16S ribosomal RNA
Rfam family: Bacterial small subunit ribosomal RNA
Source: RNAcentral
UACGAAGGGGGCUAGCGUUGUUCGGAAUUACUGGGCGUAAAGCGCACGUAGGCGGAUUGUUAAGUCAGAGGUGAAAUCCCGGAGCUCAACUUCGGAACUGCCUUUGAUACUGGCAAUCUAGAGUCCGGAAGAGGUUAGUGGAAUUCCCAGUGUAGAGGUGAAAUUCGUAGAUAUUGGGAAGAACACCAGAGGCGAAGGCGGCGACCUGGACAGGCACUGACACUCAACUACGAAAGCGUGGGGAGCAAACAGG